Molecule: long non-coding RNA, 643 nt
Filed under: Nicotiana tabacum (common tobacco)
Lineage: Eukaryota; Viridiplantae; Streptophyta; Magnoliopsida; Solanales; Solanaceae
Description: long non-coding RNA (NTAB_LNC015325)
Source: RNAcentral
GCAAAAAGGCUUAAAUUCUCUGGAAAAGAACGAGAGGUCUAGGAGCAAGAACAAAAUAGCGUAUCGGUCAUUGAGAGCUAUUCCGCAGGACCUUCUUUAGGCCACGACUGAGGUAAUUCUUUUUACGGAAUUGUAAGCUAUAACAUCAUUAUAUACUAGAAUCUAACACCCUAAUAAGGUAAAUUCAUAGGAAAGUUUUACAAAACCUCAAGAACACCCAUCAAAUACGAGUUAAGUUUUUGGUGUUAAUAGAUAAAUUCUUUAUUUUUAUUAGAUUGCUAUGACGAGUUAAGGUUGUUAGAGGCAGUAAAGGAUGUUAGAACAAGACUUCACCCCAAAACUUAGAAAUUUAGAAGUUGAACCUAAAGUUCUUAGAGUUGACAAAAGAUUAAUGCUUUUGGGAAGUUGGGUACUUAUUGUGACUUAUCAUUGUAGUAUUUGAUCGUUGAGUUGAUACAAGAAUUGGAACUUACAUUGUUGCUUGAAAGGAGAAAUUGAGGUGAGUUGAUACAACCCUUUGCUAAAGUGGUUUAACUCACAAAAGCACGCACACAAGGUAUUUGAUGAAUUGCAUAAAAGAGUUAAUAUAUACUUAAUUAGAGUAGUAAGUACCUAUUAGCUUAGAAUUAUUUUCUAGCUAAAG